UCCGAAUGGGCGGGAAUCCUUGGUCGGGCUGGCCAGCAUUCUCUUAAACAAUGUGUUCAUGAGGCUGGCUAGACGCGAAGAGGGUCUUCAGAACCUGAUUGGAAAGACGUUGCAACAACAACAAAAAAACGUGGGCACAAAUGAUAGUGGGGAUGUAAGAGAGAGAGUAAGCGAGAGCCAAGGGAGGGAGAUCAUUCUUAAUCACGGAAAAGACAGAGGAGGGAAGAGAAGCUAGCAGAGGAUUUCGAAGGCAAACCACAUUCACUGGCCGGCCUCUGGUUGCCAUGGAGAUGAUAUAGCAGAUUUAAGCCCAGGGUAACUCUGGGGAAAGACUGGCUAGAGUCCCACUUGAUGCAAAACAGUGCUACGACUUGAUUCUCCCAAAGAUUUACAUCAGAUGAGAAUCUGGCCCAGAAUGGGACUAGGAGCUUUGGAGCUUGCCAAAACCAGACAUGAUCUUUACUUCUGAAAAAUGAUGUAUGCUUAACCUGUGAAAGCUUACAUCCCUAGCUGCUUACAUCAACUGGUGGUGGCCAGAAAGAUGCCUCCUCUCUAUCCCUGGGAUCUCCUCAGGGGGGGCCACGGCUGGGAGGGGCCGCUGCCUUCUUCACCCAUCACUGGUCCCACCCUGUGGGUGCAUCGCUGCUCAAGAUGCAGCCAGGGGGCGUUUAUAUUUUCAUGCCUCCCCCAGGAGACCUGGAGCAGUGACUAAAAGACUUCCUGAGGUGAAGACUCCUCUACUUGUGGGUCAGUGUUGGCCAACCCCUCAGCCUGAACACCAGGGAAUAGCUGAGGGGUGGAUCAGACCUUCUGGUGUCUUCUCAGAAGUGGUAGAAAAAUGGUAGCAUUUUUUCUUGGAAUAUCUUUUAGAGCCUGCCCACCCUCCCAGCCUUCAAUCACUGGCUCCCCCAGUUUGACGGAUCCCUUUCCACUAACGUGUGGGGUCUGUAGGUGCCUCUUGGCCCUCAGGGGUGCCGCGGCCUUGGAAGAGCUUUGACAAGGAUGUGUCACACCGCAGACACACUGGCAGCCACAUCUACAGCCCCGCUAUCUCCUUUCUACCUUGUCUUCUUCAUUACCACCUACUCUAUUUUUCUUUAUUUCCAAAUCAUUUCUAUCUUUUAAUAAUUUCAUUACUGUAGCUGAGAAAGCUCUUUAUCUCCCUCUUUCUCUCCCUCCUCCUCCCCCUUCCUCUCCCCCCUCACUCUGUCAAUCUUUGUGACCAUAUUGAAAAUUAUGCAUAGAAACAGAAAGAGAAAGCAAGGCGCCGAAAACGGCUCCUUGAAAUGGCCAGCUUGUGAGCCACAGUGAACCGGUGUCAACUCAUUAUUCAGGUCACCAAGAGUAUCUGCUGCCUGGCAACCAUCCUGCUGUUGGAUUUUCAUGUGGGCUCAGAAGAAUGCACGAGAAACAGCAAAGUGUGUGGGGAUGGGCCGAAGUUCCCCAGUGCCAACCACCUCUCCCCAAAGGGCAUCCUUGGGUUUGCCUCUCAUUUCGACUUGGUGCCACAGUGAGAGCCCUGCUCUAAUGAGAAGAAAGGAAAGUGAUACGUCCACAGGGUUAACCCUCCCACCUGAAGCACCCGAGCAGACCACAAAGCCGGGAGCUGGACAGAUUCACGAGAGCGAAGAUAACGAGUCUAGACCUCAGAUAUAAAAGUGACUUCCCUUAUCUCUGGAAUGCUGUCACCCGGGGUGAAGGCCCGCCAGCACAAGUAGGGCGCACCAGGCCUCGCAACUGUUCAUAUGGAAAACCCCAGCCGGCAGACACCAGCUCCAGAAUUCCGCAACUUUUCCUCCUCGGGAUCAUCAGUCCUUUUGUGCCUUUUCCCUAACUUUCGACCUCACAAGACCACCUGCCGCUGUACCUCCCUGAAGGUUCAUUGAGACCGCUGCCUUGGAGCCCUGCGGCUGGAAAGAAACCAUCUUCAGCCGAAAAUAAAUCAUUGCCACCCCAUUUCACUUGGAAUUCUACUACUGAUUUUUGUUGGUUUCUAAACUUUAAUUAAACAAGACACAGUGAAGAUCUCAAUCCUCCUUCCUGGAAUCUACAGGUGUUGCUGGUGCCAUCUAGUGGCGGGAAGGUGUGGCGUCUGUUUUCUCUCGAGGGAUUUGUCAGGUUUGGAGGUUUCUUCCCCACACCAAAUUCACAUCACACGGGUGGUAGAAAAAGACAUGCAAAAAAAAAAUUUUUUUUUUUUACCUUUAAAAUUCUCACCUGCAAAAGCAGAGAUGGGUUCUGGAAGAAAAAAAAAAGAAAAAAAUACUGAGUUAGAUAAGAGGAGGAAAUAGUGGGGCAGGUAUAGGGUGUGAUGAAGAGGACUUCCAAUAAGUUGCUUUUUUUUUUUUUUUUUGGUAAUACCCCAUGGGAAGUGUCCCCAUGUCCUCCUCAUGCUGUAGACUGUGUCUAAUACAUCAUCAUGACAAGGGCCGGGUCGAUGGGGAGAGAUUCCCAAAGUCGCUUUGGAACCAAAGUCCUUUAUGGAGCGAUGCGUCCCUGAAGCAUUGUAAUCAGUCAGCUACCACUGAUGACUUUCUCAGAGGCUGGAUUACGUUUGGAUGCCCAGGGCCUGAGAGCUGCCUGAAGGGACUGGGGUGGUCCCAGGUGCUUCUGACAUCAUCAGGCACACACAUCCGGGACGCAUGGGCCAAGAAAAGCACUCGGAGAUAGAAGACUUCACCUCAUGUUACACUCCUCCCAUCCUGAAUGCAGCCUAAGACACGACGACAUUCAUACCUCAUCUCCUUCACAGACUGCUGCUAUUCUACCCAUUGGGUGCAACUGGUUUUUAAAGGGCGCGCUUGUAUAUCGUCUGGUAUAUCCCUGCCCCUGGUGUCUUAUUUGGAAGAGCUACGAAGAGACAGAUAUUCACGUACCCAUACAGUUCUCCAGUGGGACGUCCGUGCUUAUCCGAAUGUCAUCAAUGGCAAUUUCUCCUGAACGUCCUUUUCCUAUGACUCCCUCAAACACAAUCUGGAAGCCAGAAGAACAAGAGCCAUGGUAAACCGAGCUCCUCCGUUCGAACAGUGCAAAGACUUCCAAUUUUCUGUUAACUGCAGCUUAAAAUGUGUGUGUGCGCACGCACACGUGCGCAUGUUUCUGUACCUGGUAGCCAUCUGUUGACCACAUGGCUAUGGGCUUGAAAUCUUAAUUUAAAAAGAGUUGGUUCAAAUCAAAUGCAUAUCUGAAGGAAUUAAAAAUAUAUAUAUAUAUAUAACAAGGUGAUGGAUACUGUUGUCCAGUAACUAACAUGUACUGAUUAAAAGGACCAGAAUCGGGACAUGUUUAAAGGAGGGUUGGAAUGUCCCAAGCCAUUUCUGUGGUUCCUUUCUCAUAAAUCUUUCAAAUGCCCAACCCAGGCCUUUGGAAACUCAGAGGACAAAACAGGUGGGGGUAAGGUGAGCAACACAGUACACUGGGUCUGGAUGGCCUUUGGCACAAUAACAUUGUCUUGCGGCUCCAUUAUUAUAACGAGGAGGGAAAGGAUUUUUUUCCUUCCCCAAUACUUUACUGAACACCUACUACGUGUGCCAGG
Molecule: long non-coding RNA, 3535 nt
Organism: Canis lupus familiaris (dog)
Lineage: Eukaryota; Metazoa; Chordata; Mammalia; Carnivora; Canidae
Exons: 6
Source: RefSeq, a predicted model, not a curated record